AUGCAGUCGAGCGGAGAUUGAGAGCUUGCUCUCAUGAUCAGCGGCGGACGGGUGAGUAACACGUGAGCAACCUGCCUUUCAGAGGGGGACAACAGUUGGAAACGACUGCUAAUACCGCAUAACAUUGCCGAACGGCAUCAUUUGGCAAUCAAAGGAGCAAUCCGCUGAAAGAUGGGCUCGCGUCUGAUUAGAUAGUUGGUGAGGUAACGGCCCACCAAGUCGACGAUCAGUAGCCGGACUGAGAGGUUGAUCGGCCACAUUGGGACUGAGACACGGCCCAGACUCCUACGGGAGGCAGCAGUGGGGGAUAUUGGACAAUGGGGGAAACCCUGAUCCAGCGAUGCCGCGUGAGGGAAGAAGGUUUUCGGAUUGUAAACCUCUGUGGACAGGGACGAUAAUGACGGUACCUGUUUAGAAAGCCACGGCUAACUACGUGCCAGCAGCCGCGGUAAUACGUAGGUGGCGAGCGUUGUCCGGAAUUACUGGGUGUAAAGGGAGCGUAGGCGGGAAGGCAAGUCAGAAGUGAAAAUUAUGGGCUUAACCCAUAACCUGCUUUUGAAACUGUUUUUCUUGAGUGAGGCAGAGGCAAGCGGAAUUCCUAGUGUAGCGGUGAAAUGC
RNAcentral lists this ribosomal RNA (618 nucleotides) under uncultured bacterium. RNAcentral's name for it is "bacterial SSU rRNA". It matches the Rfam family "Bacterial small subunit ribosomal RNA", at positions 55 to 689 of the family's 1533-position model. The record is from RNAcentral.